GAUGAACGCUGGCGGCGUGCCUAAUACAUGCAAGUCGAGCGAACAGACGAGGAGCUUGCUCCUCUGACGUUAGCGGCGGACGGGUGAGUAACACGUGGAUAACCUACCUAUAAGACUGGGAUAACUUCGGGAAACCGGAGCUAAUACCGGAUAAUAUAUUGAACCGCAUGGUUCAAUAGUGAAAGACGGUUUUGCUGUCACUUAUAGAUGGAUCCGCGCCGCAUUAGCUAGUUGGUAAGGUAACGGCUUACCAAGGCAACGAUGCGUAGCCGACCUGAGAGGGUGGUCGGCCACACUAGAACUGAGACACGGUCCAGACUCCUACGGGAGGCAGCAGUAGGGAAUCUUCCGCAAUGGGCGAAAGCCUGACAGAGCAACGCCGCGUGAGUGAUGAAGGUCUUCGGAUCGUAAAACUCUGUUAUUAGGGAAGAACAAAUGUGUAAGUAAAUGUGCACGUCUUGACGGUACCUAAUCAGAAAGCCACGGCUAACUACGUG
This 497-nucleotide ribosomal RNA is filed under the name uncultured bacterium. RNAcentral describes it as "partial 16S ribosomal RNA". It matches the Rfam family "Bacterial small subunit ribosomal RNA", at positions 28 to 507 of the family's 1533-position model. The record is from RNAcentral.